This is a long non-coding RNA of Populus euphratica (Euphrates poplar), 956 nucleotides long. RefSeq lists it as uncharacterized. The transcript has 3 exons. The record is from RefSeq and is a predicted model, not a curated record. NCBI's taxonomy places the organism in Eukaryota, Viridiplantae, Streptophyta, Magnoliopsida, Malpighiales, Salicaceae.
CUUCCAAUAAAUAAAUAAAUAAAAACCCAAAAAAGUCUAAAAUGAAGGGGCAGAAAAACGAAGCAAAUUAUCUUGUUGCUGCCUUGCUGGAGAUAGAUAAACUCACAAGAGGAAUAGGCCGAAACGGAUAGCUUUGCCGUUACUAAUUCUUUUGCACCGAUUACCUCUCUGAAUCUCACGUCCUCCUCCUCUUCCUUAUCAUAUUUGAUUCCAUUGAAGCUUAAUUACCACCGCUUGGUGAAGGGUAAGCAAAGCUCAAAUGGACUGUUGGCGAUUCAUUGCUUUUCUGAAAUGGGUCCAACCUUAGAGCCUAUAAAUUUAAGGCAGCCUCAAGUGCCAUCUGUGGCUCCCUUUGGGGUGACAAUGGAUGGGCAAUCUUAAAGUUGUUCUUCCAGUUAAUGCACAAGUUGUUUUGAAAACUAGAAAUGUUGACGGAGUUUAUGAUGACGAUCCCAGGCAUAAUCCAAGUGCUCGUCUUCUUGAAAAUCUAACCUACUAUGAGAUGACUUCAAAAGAUCUUUCAGUGAUGGACGUGACUGCCAUUACUUUGUGCCAAGAAAAUAAUAUUCCAGUAGUUGUCUUCAAUCUAUCCAAACAGGGUAACAUUGCAAAAGCAAUAAAGGGAGAAAGUGUUGGCAAAUUGAUUGGAGGGACAUGCAACUCAACAGUCACAAGGACAUGAUGGUUACUGCCAUGUGUUUGCUGGCUUUUGAGGCCUCCCUUCUCAUAUGCAAAAUAGCUGCUUCUUUGGAAGCAUCUCGAACUUGCAUUUGAAGUUUGAAGACAAAAGUAUGCCAGGGUCCAACAUAAAGCAUCAUCUAAAUUUGCCGGCUGAGGUACUCAUUAUAGCUAAUUCUGUAAAUAAUUUUGUCAUAUUGGAUUCUUUUGAACUGCCAUUGUAUUUUUGACAGUGAAAGUUUUUACUGCAAUGCAUUGAUGUUUUAGAGUUCAGAUAA